UGGGAAGCCAUAGAAGGGAUCCCAAAAGUCGAGAGAGAAAGGAUCGAAGACGUUGGUUCUCCGGCCACCAAAGAAGCUGCUUGGAAUGAGAGACAUUUUUCUUGCUUGGUUUUUGAAAUGAGAAUUGAUGUCGGAAAAAUAAGAUAAAAUAAUGAAAAUUGAGUCGUGUUGAAUAUUGUAUUUAUUUUGUAAUUUCCUGGGUUAAACACAUCCUUCUAGAAUUUUAAUUUUCAGGAUCAGAUGAUAAGAAUUUAUAUCUUAUUUAUAACCAAGCAGAAAAUACAGGAGAGAAAAAAUAAAGUAGAAAAAAUGGAAGUAUCUUUCUUUAUAAAAAUGGAGGAUAUUUAUAGUAGAAAAAAUGACCGGGGUUAUAAAAAUAUUGAUAUAAUAUAAUAAAAUCAUAACGAUCAGAUUUAAUAUUGGAUUUAAAUCUCAUAAAUAAAAUCUUUUGAAAUCUAAACUAAUUUUAUAGUAAUCUCCCACAUAUUUUAAAAGAUUUUUCAUUGCUGAAUUAAAAAAUUUAGUGUAUAUGUUUAGAAUUUGGUGUCUUUUGAACUAUGAAUUAGACCUAGAUUAAUAAGACUUAACAUACAGAGUAAUUGGUGAAACUUUUGUUUCUAUGAAUCAAAAACUCUCUUUUGUAUUAUAAUAUCCCAUCAAUCUCAUAACACUUCACAAAUCUUAUUGUCAACGCUGUUUUGCGCUAAUAGGCUAUGUGCGCGCUUGGUAGUUCAUAAGUGCUCUAGAAAUUAUACCACAAUCUCAUAGAAGCGGCUCCACUCCAGACCUAUAUAGGUGAUAUCAUCAAGUGUAUACUGCAAUUUAUACACCACCUAUAAAGAAUAUGAAUAUCAUUAAGAGUUUUUAUCUCAUCCUCUCAUUAGUGCAGUCUAGCACUUCUUACACCAUAUGAAGGGAUAACAAUAAAUAGUGCUAGCAGAACUAACAAGUGACUUGUUAUUACCCAUAUGAACCUUUUUCAUGGGAUCUCCAAUCACAAAGGUUGGGUUUCCAUCACUAUUAAUUUCAAAUUGACUCCCAUUCCCCUCGAUGUUUCAUCUAUUAGUUUUCUCCCCAAAGGUUUAGCUAGAGAAUCGGCCAAAUUCACUUCUGACUUCACAUAAUCAAUGGAAAUAGUUUUAUCUUUCAGCAGCUGCUUAAUAACAUUAUGUCUCAGAUGAAUAUGUCUAUUUUUACUAUUGACAAUUUUAUUCUUUGAAAUGGCUAUUGCCGCUUAGCAAUUACAACGCAUUAGUACAGAUGGUGUUGGUUUUAUUCCUAACGGAAUAUUUGCUAAGAAGUUUUUUAGCCACUCAGCUUUAGUUCCAGCUAAUUCUAGAGCAAUAAACUCUGAUUCAAUAGUAGAUUUAACAAUGAUAUUUUGUUUGGUUGAUUUCCAUGUAAUUGCACCACCUCCUAGAGUAAAUACAUAACCACUAAUGAAUUUUAUCUCAUCUAAAUUUGAAAUCCAGUUAGCAUCACUGUAUCCUUCUAAUACAGCGGGAAAUUCACUAUAUAAUAUACCAUAGUUCAUGGUACCUCUCAAAUAUUUCAUUAGUCUAAUUAAUGCAGCACUAUGUUCAGUAUAACCUAUAAACAUGCAAACAUAAGUUUUUGAACCUAUUUUUCAUUUUUUAAGAUCAGGAAGAAUUAUUUCAGCAAGACACUCCCAUACUUUUAAAUAUUUUAAGUUAGGUGUAUAAUAUUUCCAAAGUUCAUAGGGUGUUUUAUCAGUUUUCUUAUAGGGUAUCCUAUUUUGUAGAUAACAAGCAGAUAAUAAAGCUUCCUUGAAAGUGAUCGUUGGAAAGAGUACUGAUAAUUGUAUGCCUACAUACCUUAUUAGAAUAGACCUAAAUUUCAUGCAACUUUGGAUCGACAGCAGUUACAGAUCUCUUGAUUCUGUGAGUGCUGAAGCAACGCCAUGCAUGCCAAGUAUUGAAAAAUUUUCUCUUGCCAUCUUUUAAAAUUCUGACCCGAAAAACCUUAAUCUUCAAGAUGUCAGGAAAAAGUUUGGCAUAUGGAACAGCAGGCAGAAGAGACCCACCAUUUGCAGCAGUAAGAAGCGUGGCGGCUGGAAGUACAGCAGAAGCAGAGGCAGUGAUAACGUCAUUGGAAGCAAAUUGUGCAAAAGUAGAGAUAGUGACAACAUUUGAUUCCAUUUGUGUGAAGAUAAAUCCUUAAGAUUGUUGAAAAAAUAGGAUAAAAAAAUGAAACUUGAGUCAUGUUAACACUGUUCUUAAGGAUUUAUUUUGUAAUCCCCUAGGAUUAAACAUGUCCUAGAAUUUAAUUUCUAAAAUCAGGACAAUAAAAAUUUAUUUUUGAUUUAUAAUCUAGCAGAAAAUACAGAGGAGAGAAAGAAUAAAGUAGAAAAAAUGGGAGUAUCUUUCUUUAUAAAGAUAAAGGUUAUUUAUAAUAAAAAAACGAUCAUUAUAAACGGUUAAAUUUAAUAUUAAAUUUAAAUUUUAUAAAUAAAAUUUUUAAUAACUAUAAAAUCUUUUAAUGAUCAUAAAAUAUUUUGAAAUUUAAACUAAUUUUAUGAUAAGAGAAAAGAACAAAAUUGCUCAGUGAAGGCUUGUUUAUAUUUGUGUAUUUCUGUGCUUAGAUCUAGGUUUGAAGAGAGGAAGGAAGGAGGUAUAUGUAGGCUGCGGUUUCUUAACUGUUAUAUGAUGAAACUUCUAGAAGUAUAUGGUUAGUUGUCGAUGGUUCACGAAGAAGGAAACAAGAGAUCUUUCUAGAAUGCGGAGGAAAUUGGAGUAAAGGAUACGUGUGUGAGUAAUUAUACAGUUAAAUUAAUAAAUUGAUAUAUAUAUAUUAAAAAAUAGACGACGAAGACUUAAAAUAUGAUAAUUAAUUUAAAUUUUUUUAAAUAAAAUUUGAGAUUGAUAGAGUUAAAUCUGAAAUUUUUUAAAUUUAUUAAGAUAUAUUAAUAUGAUAUUAAGUUUGUGAAUACAAUUAAUUUAUUUUUUUUUUAAAUUUUAUUUUUUAUACAUAUAUUUUUAUUUUAUUAGUUUAUUAUACCAUAUAAAUAUGCUGUAUAAUUUACAUGGUACAACUUUUUGUAUUUUAUAAUUUUUCCUCAUGUAGCUGCAUGCAAAAUAUAAGCUCAUGCCUCAUUCGCUCCACCAGUGGAAAAGUUCUUGAAAUUUAAGAAUAAAUAAUUAUAUCUUAUAAAAUUUAAGAUACUUGUUGAUAUUUAAAAAAUAAUAAUAAAAUAUAUUAUUAAAAAAAUAAAAUAAUUUUAUUGUUAAUAUUUUAAAUGGUAGAUAAACAGAUAAUAAAUUAUUUUAAUUACUUUUUUAUAAUUUGAUUAAUAAAUUUUAUUUUUAUUUUUUAUUUUUUUAUAUCAAAUAAUUUAUUUUAUUAUUUUAUAUAAUUAUUAACUUAUUUUAUUGGUAUUAAAUAAUAAUAAUUUAAAAAAGACAAUAUGCUAUUUGAAGACAGAGUAAGGUGGCAAGAGUCUAAUCAGGUGAUAUUCGAUUCCAUCGAGAGAAAAGAGGACUCAAAAACUUCAAGCCGGUCACAAUUUGAUUCUUCGUCAAAACUUGCCCUAUCUUGGAGAGGUCGGAUCUUCUUAGGAAAUUACCGUUAGCGCCUACAAUUCGGCAGAUUCUUUUACGCCUGUAAUCACAGGAUUUCUGAUCAAUUAGCCGAGAAGAUCUCUUAUCAAUGAACCGGCCACAUGCCCAAAUCAUAAAGGCAACUAUCUCUUUCGAAUCUAAAGAAUCGAAAAUCAGCAGGGGAUCUAUGAUUCUACAUGACACUCGCCCAAAGUAAGCAGUAAACGGUCACCAUAAGACAAGACUACGUGGUAAGAAUCUGAUAAACCUAUACGUGGUCCCAUCAUUAGAAAAGAAGACCCGGGAGAUUCAAGUCAGCCUCAAGACAGGUCGAUCUCAAGUCGAACAGACUCACCCUUUUAACUUCAGGAUGAAACUCCAUAAGAAAAUUACUAUUAACAACUAUAAUCCAGCAGAUUUUUUUUAAGCAUGUGAUAACAAGAUUCUCGAUCAAUUAGUCUAUGAAGAUCGCUUACUAAUGAUCUGGCCGCAUAAUCGUAGAAUUAUCAGGAAAUAAUAUAUUUAUUUAUAUUUUCUUAUUGUAAAAAAGAACAAUCGCGGAGAUAAAAGUACAUUAUUCUCUAAUACUAAAUCUCUAAUACUAAAUCUUUAAACAAUUCAUUGCAUUCUCUUUUCAGAUACUGGCUUUUGCGUUGGAGUGGGUGUCCACUACCUCAAGUUUUCUUUCUUGCAGGUCACAACCAAUUACAGUAUCGCUCCGUUCUGAUCAUGUCGUCCAUCUAAUUUCAACAAUAUUAUAAAUUAUUUAAUUUUUAAUUCGUGCAAAAUUUAAAAAUAGUCAUGUUUCUAAAAAAAAAGAAUUAAAAUAAUGCGUAAAAUAUAUUUUAUUUUUUAAUUUCUAAAAAAUUAAAUUAAUCAUAUUUCUGAAAAUAAUUAAAAUAAUAUGUAAAAAUUAUUUUAAUUUUUAAUUUUAACUUUUUUUAUUUUUGAAAAAUUAAAAUUAAAAUUUUUAUUUUAAAAUUAAGCUUUUCUAAGCUUACUAGAUUUUAAAAUGCAUAAUUUAUAAAAUUAAUUAGAUUUUUUUUUUAUUAUUUGAAAUGUAAUAUCUAAAUUUAAUUAUUUUAUUUUUAUUUAAUUUUUUAUGAUACUUUUAAUUUAUAUUUUUCAAUUGCACUUCCAUUAUGUUAACAAAUUUACAGUUGAAACCCAUAUUAUUUUUUAUGCGUAUUUCAUAAUUAAUAUAUCAUUGAUUAUUAAAUUAAUUUUAAUAGUUGAAUGGUAAAUUAUUAAUUAACCAAUAAAAAAAAUAGAUGGAUCGAUUGAAUUUGAUUACAAAACCAAUUAACUUAUGAUGGAUAAAGAUAAUUUAGAUUCAAAUUUAAUCCAAAUUAACCAUUAAACACCCCUACUAAAGACCCCAGGAGAUCACCACCCCUACUAAACACCCCAAGAAGAUAAACACCCCAUAGAAAUGAACCCUUUCUCAAAAAACUCUCAUAAACAAAUUAGUCUUUCAUGUAUCUCCCUCAAAAAUCACAUUCUAUAAAAGAAAAACACACUAUUAGAAGAAUAAACAAAAGAAAUUAAUAAAAAAAUAAAAAAAAUUGACCCACUCAAAUGUAGAUCUAAAUCUCUGAAUGAGAUAGGGUCUUUGAACAAGGAGCCGACAAAAGAGAGAACUUGAUUUUAGAUGAAGAAUCGGAGAAAAAGAGAAAAAUCUCACUUUAAAAUAAGAGAGAGACCAAUUAAUAAAAAAAAUUUUAAUUUCAGUUAUAGAAUUUUUUAAAAAAACAUCCGGAUAUUUUGCCGCUCAACUACAUCUUAUGCAUACAUUAAGUGAUAUAUAUAUAUAUAUCUUAUUGCUUUUAAAACGAAAUAAAGUUAUUAGUGUUACAUAACAAUCAUCCAAAGUAAGUUAUGAGCGGUCACCGUGAAACAAAUCCACUUGGCAAGAAUCAUGUGAGUAGGAAAUAUAGUCCAUCCCUAGGGAAGAAAGGUCUGGACACCAUGAUACCCGGUGCGUCAUUAAGACUCGUCUUUCACCUGUAAUCACAAGACUGUCAAUUUAUUAACUGGUAAUAUUCUUUAUCAAGUAGCCGAUCACAUUACUGUCAUAUUAUUGAAAAAUUCUAUAUUCAAUACUAUACAUUCCUACACAAAGAUAAAACUAUGUUAUUUUUUAAAUACUAAAUCUCUAAACAAUUUGUUGCAUUCUCCCUUCCAGAUAGUAACUUAGAGUAUCGAAGUUAGUGUCAUUGACACUCUACUACCACCUCACAUUUUCUUCCUUAUAAAUUAUAACUAAUCACAACACAAUUUUAAUUGAGUCACGCCGUCAAUCUAAUCUCAAUAAUAUCAAUUAUUUUAAUUAAAAAAUAUAUUAACUUUUAAUAUAUAUAUAUAUAUAUAUAUUAAUUACACUUAUAAACUUAACCUAAUAGUAAGUGCAUCUGAAUAAAUGAAAAAUCUCAGAUUUUAUUUUUUAAUCCCUAAUCCAUAUUUCAAAAAAUAUAUAUAUAUUAUUAUUUAAUUUUUAUAAUAUAAAAAAAUUUAUUAAUUUAAAAAAAAAUUAAAGUUUUAUAAAAUUUUUAAAAUAAAUAUAUUAAUUAAUUAUUUCAUUAAUUAUAACUUUUAUUAUUUUUUAGCCAUUCUGUAAUACCCGGCUUGAGUCCGGCCUCGGAAUUCCUGUCGUCUGGUGGAAUCUCGGGUGUCGGAACCCUCGAGAAGGGUCAUACAUAUGUUUUCUGAGGUAUUUUGACUUGUUUUAAGGUUUUAAGUAUAAAGGAAAAUGAGUUUUGAAAGAAAAGCAAAAAGGGAGAAAUGCAAAGGUUCGGCCGCCAAACAUUUCAUGGUUUCGGAUUCACGUUCGGCUGCCGAAGGUGGUCUGGCCAGCCACCUAUAAAAAGGGCCAAAGGGUCGGUGGAAGGAGGAUAUUUCUCCUCCACUUGCAGCCAGAGGUGAGUUCAAGCCUCUCCCAAGUUGACUUUCAUGUUUUUCAUGUUUUUCACCAAAUUUUUCAAGAGUUGUAAGAGUUUUGGUGUGUUUUGAAGGUUUUGAGUAAAAAUAGCCAGUUUGGAAGUUUGGAGCUUUGGAAGAGAUUUUCUUCAUAUCUCCACGUUAGGAUCCCUUGAUCUCUUGUUUGGAAGAGGUAAGUCAAGAUCCAGAACCUCUUUUACUGAUUUUUGAAGGUUUUAUGGGAGUUGUAUGAGGUGUAUGCAUGAAUAGGGUUUUGGUUGAGGUUUUGCAUGAGUUAGUGUUUAAGCAUGUGUAAGUGUUGUUUGAUGUGUUGUUUUGGGUUAUAAGUGAGUUUUAGGCCUUUUUAUGCAUGUUUUAUGGUAUGUGCUAGUUGGGAGUAGUUGAUAUGCAUGUUGGAUAGGUUUUGGGUAAGUUUUGCAUGAAGCAGGGCAUGGUUCUGCCCUUCGGGUAAAAGCCAGGUUCGGCCGCCGAAGGAAGGUUCGGCCGCCGAACGUGCUAAGUAGGUGGUUUCGGCUGCCUAAGCUUGCCCCCGAAAAUUGGGACUUUCGUCUCUGGAGGCAAGGUUCGGCCGCCGAAGGUGCCGCCGAAGGUAAGGGACUUUCGUCUCUGGAGAGCCUUUUGGCCUCCGAACCUUGCCCCCGAAGGGUUUUGGCCGCCGAAGAAGGGAGUUCGGCCGCCAAACAUGCAUGAGUUUCGUCUCUGGAAUGGGUUUUCGGCCGCCGAACCUGCCGCCGAAAGUGCCCUGUCCAGCCUUCCUUUGCAUGUUUUAUGUGAUUGUUCUAGGAUGGUUUAGAGGGGUUUUGGGGAGUUUCUUAGAUAUGUUCUUGAGUUAGUUUGGUCCCUCAUUUGAGUCCACCUGUGUAGGUACGGACCAGAGGAAUCAGGGAAGUCAGCAGUGAGUACUGCAGCAGAACCUGCAGCGUUAGUUCAGAGUCUAUCAGAGGUGAGUGGAACUUCUACUGUUUUAAAAUGCUUUUAGCAUCUUUCAUGCAUCAUGAUGAGUAUGGUAGGAUGAUUGCAUUAGUUUCACGAAGAUGGCGCAUUGCAUUGCAUAAUACGAUGUAUAUAAUGAUGUGGAUGGACCAAGGCGACCCCAAUAGCCCUACCUCUGUUAUGUAAGACCUGGCCGGGCCAGGCAGGCAGAGAGACUCUGUUAUAAGACCUGGCCGGGCUAGGCAGCCAUCUGUAGGUAAGACCUGACUAGGUCAGGCAGCAGAGAUAGUAAGACCUGGCCGGGCCAGGCGGGCAGAGUGAGUAAGACCUGGCCGGGCCAGGCAACUUGAGGUUAUAAGACCUGGCUAGGCCAGGCAUCCUCCUAGGAUAGGGAUUUUUGGUGGUCAUGUCUAUCUGCGACUCAGACUGGACUGGCUGUGAUGUGAGGCAUUCCAUGAGAUCAUGUUUUAUAGUUCUACUCAUUGGGCUUGUAUAGCUCAUCCCUCACCCUCUACCCCAGUCUUGCAGGUACAGGUACCAAAAAGAGUCCAGCAGGGUAUGGAAGAAGAGAAAGUAUUGUAAUAGCUAAUGUGGAUAUGAAAUUGUAAAGAGAUAGGAGUUUUGUAAUAUGAUGUAUAGAAAUGUGCUUGACCAUUGAUAGUAUCCCUUUUGUAUAUACAUGGUCAGUGUAUGUAUGUUUUAUGUUAUGUAUAUGAGAAAAUCAGGCUUAACAUUAUGAGUUUGAUCCGCCUAGAGCAAAGAUGAGAGCUCUAGUAGGGAUGUUGAUAGUACAGCGUUAGUGCAUGCACAGGUUAAGCCUUGAAACAAAAAAAAGUUGUAAUUGAAUACAGAAAAUGUAUGAUCAUGUAUGGGAUUUCACAGGUAUACAAAGUUCACAGAACGCUUGCUACGGGUCCCGGCGGCCUUAAACUGAUCUGAAUCCUAGCGCCGGUAGCAGUUCGGUAUCCGGGCUGUUACACAUUCAAUUUUAAAAAUACAUUAAAUAUCAAUUUUUCCUUCUCUUUAAGAAAAAUUUAUUAAUUUAAGAUGCGGUAAAUCGGUUAUUUGUCCCCGCGUAGGACAAUUUUUUUUCCAAACCUAAUUAAGCAAAAUGCCCAGAUCUUGCCCUCUUUCAUUUGCCGGUCUCAAUUUCAUUGCUUUAAUAACAUUUUCACCUAAAAGUUAGUAUCAAGUCUAGGAAUCUUGCUUCCUUUCUCUUUUCUCUCCUCCUUUUUCCUUUUCUUCCCCUCUUCCUUUGCCAAAUUCCUUCCCUAUUUUUGCCUCUGUUUUUCUCCUUCCUUCUCUGUUUCUUCCUUUGGCAAUCUCACUGUCACAGUCUCCUUUUGAACACAAAUUUUAAUUAAAAGUAAUUAUAUAAAAAAAAUUAUAGUAAAAAUACUUGCACUUUUUAUUAAUUUUUUAAUAAAAUAAAUUUUGAAUUAUCGAAAAAAUCUUCAACACUAAAAUUUAUUUCCAUAAAGUCUGAAAGCAUUAUGACAAUAAAACUGUAUACGAAGAAGGUGAUGGUGAUAAGUUGAAUUUGCUUACAUUUGUGUUCCACUAAUUAACAAGUAAAAAGCUUUAGUUUUUUCUGGUGAAUUCGCUCCACGAUUGCUUGGAACAUUGGGCUGUAUUAGAAACCUCACAUACUUAGCCCAGAAAUUCUCAACGCACUAAAGAAGGUAGAAAACGAAAAGAUCAAAUCUUUGUUAACAAAGAAAAUUCAGUACACUCAAAUUACAACUCCAUACGAAAGAACCACAUAACACCGAUUACAUUGCAGAUUACACUCAUCUAUAUUACUUGUUUAAUGGAAGAUAUUGUAAUUCUAAUACCUUUUUUCAGACCAAACUGCAACACCCCAUAGAUGGAAUUUGCCAUUGUUUUCAGUCAACCAGAGAUCUCAAUGGCCUUGACAUCUGGUUUCUUGACCUCCUCUUUAGGAACAGUCACUGUCAGGACUCCGUUCUCCAUGCUUGCCUUAACCUCGUCAACUUUUGCAUUCUCUGGCAGCCUGAAUCUUCUCAAGAAUUUCCCUCUUGAUCUCUCAACUCUAUGCCACUUAUCGUUCUUCUCUUCCUUCUCUUUGCUUCUCUCUCCACUUAUCUGCAAAACCCUGCCUUCUUCUACCUCCACUUUCACUUCCUCUUUCUUUAUUCCUGGAAGAUCAGCCUUGAAAACGUGAGCCUCCGGAGUUUCCUUCCAGUCUAUGCGCGCCUUGGCAAAUGCUGAAGUUUCAUUUGCGGACUCAGAGCGAGGAGCUGAGACUGAGAGAGAUGUGCUUGGGAAUGGGAAGCCAUAGAAGGGAUCCCAGAAGUCGAGAGAGAAAGGAUCGAAGACGUUGGCUCUCCGGCCACCGAAGAAGCUGCUUGGAAUGAGAGACAUUUUUCUUGCUUGGUUUUUGAAAUGGGAAUUGAGAGAAAAGAACAAGAUUGCUCAGUGAAGGCUUGUUUGUAUUUGUGUAUUUCUAUGCUUAGAUCUGCGGUUUGAAGAGAGGAAGGAAGGAGGUAUAUAUAGGGUGCGGUUUCUUAAC
Molecule: long non-coding RNA, 9960 nt
Filed under: Manihot esculenta (cassava)
Lineage: Eukaryota; Viridiplantae; Streptophyta; Magnoliopsida; Malpighiales; Euphorbiaceae
Description: long non-coding RNA (MESC_LNC008553)
Source: RNAcentral